RNAcentral lists this long non-coding RNA (695 nucleotides) under Homo sapiens (human). Its description in RNAcentral is "long intergenic non-protein coding RNA 1088". Lineage: Eukaryota; Metazoa; Chordata; Mammalia; Primates; Hominidae. The record is from RNAcentral.
UGGGAAUAAUGUCACCAAUAGCAUAAGAAUUAAUGUCUACUAUGAUGCUGAAAUAAAUAAACUGGUAAAACUACUCUGCUGUCUAAAUCCCCAAGUUACAAAUUUACAGAGCUGCCGGCUUCCCCUUGAAGGAAUAGGAGUAGACCUGCUGAACUAUCACAUGAGAGAAGAGGCCCAAAAGCUUGCACACUACAGUCAAGCUGGCCCUUAAAGAGAUGGACCUAGAAGAUGCUGAGCCAGAUGUACUCAAUUACUUCUCCAAAAUUCAUCAAUUAGGAAUACAACAUGUUUAAGACCACAGAACAUCUGCAUAGGCUGUAAAUUUCGUUGAAUGAUGGAUGCAAAGAUGGAAGACAGAUGGAUAGAGGAAAAGACAGAAUCAGAUACUGGAUGAGUUAGUACUGCUGCCUGUGCUUCAGAGCUGUCUUAUUACCACAAGGCCGGCAAGCAUCAAUGUCCCCACAUCCCCCUCUGCCUCCCCCUGAAAUGUACCGAUUUAUAUGAAAAUUAAGAUUACAAAUUAAAGCCUGGCUAUCCUGGAGUUUUCCAGUUCAUCAGCCAUCCAAUAAAAAUGAUGUCAAGCCUGUAUGCAUAAUUCCCGGAAGAUUACUUUCGUCCUUACAGCUAAGCCCUGUCCCUGAUAUGAAAGAUCUCUAUCCACUUUUAUUGAAAUAAAGAACUAACAUCAUAAUCCC